Molecule: ribosomal RNA, 467 nt
Filed under: uncultured bacterium
Lineage: Bacteria
Description: bacterial SSU rRNA
Rfam family: Bacterial small subunit ribosomal RNA
Source: RNAcentral
GCCAGACUCCUACGGGAGGCAGCAGUGAGGAAUAUUGGUCAAUGGGCUUACGCCUGAACCAGCCAAGUCGCGUGAGGGAAGACUGCCCUAUGGGUUGUAAACCUCUUUUGUCAGGGAGCAAUUGGCGCUACGUGUAGCGUUAUCGAGAGUACCUGAAGAAAAAGCAUCGGCUAACUCCGUGCCAGCAGCCGCGGUAAUACGGAGGAUGCGAGCGUUAUCCGGAAUUACUGGGCGUAAAGGGCGCGUAGGUGGGUGCUUAAGUCAGGUGUGAAAACUCUGGGCUCAACCUGGAGACUGCACUUGAAACUGGGUAUCUUGAGGGCAGGAGAGGAAAGUGGAAUUCCUAGUGUAGCGGUGAAAUGCGUAGAUAUUAGGAGGAACACCAGUGGCGAAGGCGACUUUCUGGACUGUACCUGACGCUGAGGCGCGAAAGCGUGGGUAGCGAACGGGAUUAGAUACCCUGGUAC